GCCAAGUAUUUUUCAUUAUUAGGACAGACACGAUUAAGAAGAGACUUAAAUCUAUGUAAUCACCACAGUAGUUAGUUUCAGUUUUUCAGCUCAACACAUGAUUUGCCAUUAAUCCACUUGUUGAAGAGUAUUCCCCAUCAAGAAACAAAGUGUUGUAAAAAGAUCAAAUUAUCAUAAGUUGGAAGAAAAGUGCAUGUGUCAUUAG
Molecule: unclassified non-coding RNA, 205 nt
Filed under: Hevea brasiliensis (rubber tree)
Lineage: Eukaryota; Viridiplantae; Streptophyta; Magnoliopsida; Malpighiales; Euphorbiaceae
Source: RNAcentral